RNAcentral lists this ribosomal RNA (497 nucleotides) under uncultured bacterium. RNAcentral's name for it is "partial 16S ribosomal RNA". It matches the Rfam family "Bacterial small subunit ribosomal RNA", at positions 28 to 507 of the family's 1533-position model. The record is from RNAcentral.
GAUGAACGCUGGCGGCGUGCCUAAUACAUGCAAGUCGAGCGAACAUACGAGGAGCUUGCUCCUCUGACGUUAGCGGCGGACGGGUGAGUAACACGUGGAUAACCUACCUAUAAGACUGGGAUAACUUCGGGAAACCGGAGCUAAUACCGGAUAAUAUAUUGAACCGCAUGGUUCAAUAGUGAAAGACGGUUUUGCUGUCACUUAUAGAUGGAUCCGCGCCGCAUUAGCUAGUUGGUAAGGUAACGGCUUACCAAGGCGACGAUGCGUAGCCGACCUGAGAGGGUGAUCGGCCACACUGGAGCUGAGACACGGUCCAGACUCCUACGGGAGGCAGCAGUAGGGUAUCUUCCGCAAUGGGCGAAAGCCUGACGGAGCAACGCCGCGUGAGUGAUGAAGGUCUUCGGAUCGUAAAACUCUGUUAUUAGGGAAGAACAAAUGUGUAAGUAACUAUGCACGUCUUGACGGUACCUAAUCAGAAAGCCACGGCUAACUACGUG